CCCUUGGAGUAUCAUACAAAUCUUAGUACCUGAAAAGGGAAAAGAGAUACGAUGAAUAGGGAA
This 63-nucleotide non-coding RNA is filed under the name unclassified sequences. RNAcentral describes it as "RAGATH-18 RNA". It matches the Rfam family "RAGATH-18 RNA". From Rfam's summary of the family: Actinobacteria, Firmicutes, Fusobacteria, Thermotogae (1 example). Nearby to self-cleaving ribozyme genes The record is from Rfam by way of RNAcentral.